AGGCACCGCAUCCUUUUCCUAUAUUCAGUCCCAAUAUCUUCUCCAUCGUGUUUUCCAUCCUUUUCCUGAGCGUUGUUCUCCUGAUUUGCCACGUUUUUGAGUCUUAUCAUCUCGAUGCUCCUUCUGGCUCUCUCUCUCUCUGUAUCCCCCUUCCCUUCGCCAUCUCUCUUUCCUACUUGUGUGCAUCAUCUAGAGUCUAGACGACGCAACCACUAAGAGGAUGAAAAAUAGGCAAAAUAAUUUCAUCAUCUUCCUCUUGUGCUCUUCCGUUGCGCUUGGAUUGGUUAAUAUUGAUUUUUCUGUUCAAUUGGCAGUGUGCUGGGUUGGCAACCGAUGAUGGGGAUUAGGGCUCUUUGUUUCUAGCUUGCGUGAUCCGUGACAAUGUUCACCUACAAAGUGAUUAUAUACUUCGUAGCUAAUCAAGUUUCUUUGUGGCAUGGACGGACUUUUCCCGUGAUAAAAAGAUGGAAAGGGAGCUAUCAGGGAGGUAGAGCAGUCUCAAGAUGAUGACAGCCGCCCAGGUAACAGUCUGGACUCAGAGCCGUUUAUAUCUUGGAUGGCUCGAUCAUCUUGUCGAGUAAAGUCUUUUUCUUCCAGGCCAUCGAAGAAACAGAAAUCGUUUCAGUUAUCUACCCCUGUUGUCUCAUCACUGCUACAUGCCAAAACUGAGAGCACAAACUGGAAUUUAGGUUCCUUGAACAACAGUAAAGGCAAGCCAGAUUGUAAUCUUUUAUUCCCUGACAAACUGAUGGAUCUUAGCAAGACUGAGAAUUCUUUUGUCGGAAGUCAUAGCAGCUACAAAAGUUUAUUGAAGAAAAAAAGUAUGAUUUUAAACUUAGAAUUACCAGGGGUUGUCUUAAUCUGUAUAGAGCUACUUCUUGGCAUCAAUGCACAAAUAAAUGAAUCAGCAUCAUUCUUGAUCUUUUCAAGAUUGCUUUUCCCAUUGAGGAACUCCUGAUGAUAAUCAAGAAUGUUAAAUAUGUACUCGGUGACUGAUAGCGUACAUAGUGAAAAUAUAUUUGUACACA
Non-coding RNA from Nicotiana tabacum (common tobacco), 1028 nucleotides. The record is from RefSeq and is a predicted model, not a curated record. Lineage: Eukaryota; Viridiplantae; Streptophyta; Magnoliopsida; Solanales; Solanaceae.